This 404-nucleotide ribosomal RNA is filed under the name uncultured bacterium. RNAcentral's name for it is "bacterial SSU rRNA". It matches the Rfam family "Bacterial small subunit ribosomal RNA", at positions 355 to 776 of the family's 1533-position model. The record is from RNAcentral.
UGGGGAAUAUUGCACAAUGGGCGGAAGCCUGAUGCAGCGACGCCGUGUGCGGGAUGACGGCCUUCGGGUUGUAAACCGCUUUCAACUGUGACGAAUUUGACGGUAGCAGUAGAAGAAGCACCGGCUAACUACGUGCCAGCAGCCGCGGUGAUACGUAGGGUGCGAGCGUUGUCCGGAUUUAUUGGGCGUAAAGGGCUCGUAGGCGGUCUAUUGCGUCGGGAGUGAAAACCUGCGGCUUAACUGUGGGCUUGCUUUCGAUACGGGUGGACUUGAGGAGGGAAGGGGAGAACGGAAUUCCUGGUGGAGCGGUGGAAUGCGCAGAUAUCAGGAGGAACACCGGUGGCGAAGGCGGUUCUCUGGACCUUUCCUGACGCUGAGGAGCGAAAGCGUGGGGAGCAAACAGG